Molecule: ribosomal RNA, 409 nt
Filed under: bacterium
Lineage: Bacteria
Also listed under: 1 other name
Description: partial 16S ribosomal RNA
Rfam family: Bacterial small subunit ribosomal RNA
Source: RNAcentral
UGGGGAAUAUUGCACAAUGGGCGAAAGCCUGAUGCAGCGACGCCGCGUGAGGGAUGACGGCCUUCGGGUUGUAAACCUCUUUCAGCAGGGACGAAGCGCAAGUGACGGUACCUGCAGGAGAAGCACCGGCUAACUACGUGCCAGCAGCCGCGGUAAUACGUAGGGUGCAAGCGUUGUCCGGAAUUACUGGGCGUAAAGAGUUCGUAGGCGGUUUGUCGCGUCGUUUGUGAAAACCAGCAGCUCAACUGCUGGCUUGCAGGCGAUACGGGCAGACUUGAGUACUGCAGGGGAGACUGGAAUUCCUGGUGUAGCGGUGAAAUGCGCAGAUAUCAGGAGGAACACCGGUGGCGAAGGCGGGUCUCUGGGCAGUAACUGACGCUGAGGAACGAAAGCGUGGGUAGCGAACAGG